GAUGAAGAACGCAGCGAAAUGCGAUAAGUAGUGUGAAUUGCAGAAUUCAGUGAAUCAUCGAAUCUUUGAAUGCACAUUGCGCCCUUUGGUAUUCCAAAGGGCAUGCCUGUUCGAGCGUCAUUUGUACCCUCAAGCUUUGCUUGGUGUUGGGCGUCUUGUCUCUAGCUUUGCUGGAGACUCGCCUUAAAGUAAUUGGCAGCCGGCCUACUGGUUUCGGAGCGCAGCACAAGUCGCACUCUCUAUCAGCAAAGGUCUAGCAUCCAUUAAGCCUUUUUUUCAACUUUUGACCUCGGAUCAGGUAGGGAUACCCGCUGAACUUAAGCAUAUCAAUAAGCGGAGGA
Molecule: unclassified non-coding RNA, 341 nt
Filed under: soil metagenome
Description: partial contains 5.8S ribosomal RNA, internal transcribed spacer 2, and large subunit ribosomal RNA
Rfam family: 5.8S ribosomal RNA (bases 1-120)
Source: RNAcentral